GAUGAACGCUGGCGGCGUGCCUAAUACAUGCAAGUCGAGCGAACAGACGAGGAGCUUGCUCCUCUGACGUUAGCGGCGGACGGGUGAGUAACACGUGGAUAACCUACCUAUAAGACUGGGAUAACUUCGGGAAACCGGAGCUAAUACCGGAUAAUAUAUUGAACCGCAUGGUUCAAUAGUGAAAGACGGUUUUGCUGUCACUUAUAGAUGGAUCCGCGCCGCAUUAGCUAGUUGGUAAGGUAACGGCUUACCAAGGCAACGAUGCGCAGCCGACCUGAGAGGGUGAUCGGCCUCACCGGAACAGAAAAGCCGUCCAGGCUCCUGGGGGAGGAAGCAGGGAGGACUCCUCCGCAAAGGCGCGUAGCCUCACGGAUAACCCCCGCGUGAUGAAUGAAGUUCUUCGGGCUGAAAAACUUUGUUAUUAGGGAAAAAUAAAUGUUUAAGUAACGACCCACGUCUGGAUGGUACCUAUUCAGGAACCCCCGGCUACCUUGC
Molecule: ribosomal RNA, 495 nt
Filed under: uncultured bacterium
Lineage: Bacteria
Description: partial 16S ribosomal RNA
Rfam family: Bacterial small subunit ribosomal RNA
Source: RNAcentral